RNAcentral lists this ribosomal RNA (187 nucleotides) under Escherichia coli. RNAcentral describes it as "partial 23S ribosomal RNA". It matches the Rfam family "Bacterial large subunit ribosomal RNA", at positions 2759 to 2925 of the family's 2925-position model. The record is from RNAcentral. Lineage: Bacteria; Pseudomonadati; Pseudomonadota; Gammaproteobacteria; Enterobacterales; Enterobacteriaceae.
GAGAUAAGUGCUGAAAGCAUCUAAGCACGAAACUUGCCCCGAGAUGAGUUCUCCCUGACUCCUUGAGAGUCCUGAAGGAACGUUGAAGACGACGACGUUGAUAGGCCGGGUGUGUAAGCGCAGCGAUGCGUUGAGCUAACCGGUACUAAUGAACCGUGAGGCUUAACCUUACAACGCCGAAGCUGUU